AUUGAACGCUGGCGGCAUGCCUUACACAUGCAAGUCGAACGGUAACAGGUUAAGCUGACGAGUGGCGAACGGGUGAGUAAUGUAUCGGAACGUGCCCAGUCGUGGGGGAUAACUGCUCGAAAGAGCAGCUAAUACCGCAUACGACCUGAGGGUGAAAGCGGGGGAUCGCAAGACCUCGCGCGAUUGGAGCGGCCGAUAUCAGAUUAGGUAGUUGGUGAGGUAAAGGCUCACCAAGCCGACGAUCUGUAGCUGGUCUGAGAGGACGACCAGCCACACUGGGACUGAGACACGGCCCAGACUCCUACGGGAGGCAGCAGUGGGGAAUUUUGGACAAUGGGCGCAAGCCUGAUCCAGCCAUGCCGCGUGCGGGAAGAAGGCCUUCGGGUUGUAAACCGCUUUUGUCAGGGAAGAAAAGGUGCUGGCUAAUACCUGGGACUCAUGACGGUACCUGAAGAAUAAGCACCGGCUAACUACGUG
RNAcentral lists this ribosomal RNA (477 nucleotides) under uncultured bacterium. RNAcentral's name for it is "partial 16S ribosomal RNA". It matches the Rfam family "Bacterial small subunit ribosomal RNA", at positions 30 to 507 of the family's 1533-position model. The record is from RNAcentral.